This 1616-nucleotide long non-coding RNA is filed under the name Fukomys damarensis (Damara mole-rat). RNAcentral describes it as "lncRNA (ENSFDAG00000028562.1)". Lineage: Eukaryota; Metazoa; Chordata; Mammalia; Rodentia; Bathyergidae. The record is from RNAcentral.
GUCAGUCUGUUUUCUACUUCCUAAUAUUGACUUAAGAAUUGAUAUCUUUUCAUGUCUUUUGUUCUUUUCUAAUGUGUCAUGAACCGAUGUGAUGGAUGGAACAGAGUGAUAAUAAAUAUUAUUGAUUAGGCCUUCAAUAAAGAGCUGCACUGCAGGAAUGACUAGAGCAAAUGGGCAUUUCUAGAAGGACAAGCUCAUGUGAGGAGGAGGUACAGACAGAGCACAGAAGAAGUGGUCAGGGAGACCUGCUGUUCAAAGAAACAUUUUUGCUUGCAUUGGUAAAGUUGAAAUCUCUCUUGGAAGCUGGAACAGCCUCCUAAAUGUUGUUACGGUCACAAAAGCUUGAAAGUCAAGUACACUUACAAAAGAAAAUAGAAAUCUGAUGAGAUGGCACCUGGCAGGGAAAACAGAACCUUGGACCAACCAACAAAUGGCGUAUUAAUCUGAUAAAGUACACAUGAAAUGGGAGUUCUGUCAUAGUCCACACCCAACAUGAACACCAUGAGCCAAUCUCUGAGGUGGAUUCCUGUCCCAGGCCUUUUUGUUGUCAAUGGGCUGUAGUGACUCAGAGCCCAUUCUGCGGUAUAUUGAAAUUCCAUAGUAAGUCAAAAGAUGCUCUGUACCAUUUGAUCUCUCUCCAAAAACAAGCAGACUUGACACAGCCCCAGCAUUCCUCUUUGGAGGGAAGCCAGAGGCUCUUUUCCAAACGCCAUUUGUGCCUCUCUGGCCCUCCCUGGCAGCCCUUGCUCCAGCCAUCGGGUUGAAUGCUGACCGGUUCUAUGUUUCCCCUUUUGUUUGCUCCCAGGGUAGUGCAGGCAGGAUGGUGACAUCUUCAGAUGGGCUCCUCUGGAGAGCCCAGCCCCAUGACGCUGAGGUGUGAGUUUUAGGGUUUGCUUUUCAGAGCCUUCUGCCAGCCCGUGGGAUGGCCGAGCACAGUGCGCUGACCCUCUUCAGCUCCGCGCUGGUCCUUUAGGUUAGACAGGAUCCUUCCUCCAUGCCCGGAUUUCCUCUCCUGCAGCUCAGCUGGGCAAUGAGGGUGGGGCCGUGAAGUCCAACCUGUUGGUGCUGGCUCCACUCAGCCACAUUAGGCGACCGUGCUGGCACCACAGCUGGGGCUUGGCAGGACCAGGGCACACCCCGUGCUCACCAGGCCUGGAACGGGACCUGAAGAUCAGCGGCCAGGAAAUGGUGACAGACAGAGGCAGAGAAAGAUGGCCCAGGAGAGAGAAGCGGUCAGGAGGCCGGACUGAGUGCAGCAUGUAGUUCAGAAAGAAUGAAAGAUAGUGGGGUGAGGGUCAGUUUCCAGUUUGCAUGAGUCCGCCUCUCCUUUCCAUUUCCCUGCUCUUCUCCCCUCUCCCUUUCCCCGCCUUUUCCUUCCCUUGCUUUUCCUCCGGUCCUUUCCAAGAGGGUGAAAAGCUAUGCGGUGAUCUCAAGGCUUUCUGGCCUCUGAGCUAGUAGUGGAUGUUUCUGCUCAAUGAAUCACUUCAUGCUGCUUGCUGAUGGAGCUUUUCAAAGGCUGUGAGGUAACAAGCACCAUUAUCUUCAGCGAUUAUGAGCGGCAGUCAUGAUGUCGGCUGGUCAUUAUUAUUGUUUAUUGUUCGCAGAGUACCUUGCAC